RNAcentral lists this ribosomal RNA (497 nucleotides) under uncultured bacterium. RNAcentral's name for it is "partial 16S ribosomal RNA". It matches the Rfam family "Bacterial small subunit ribosomal RNA", at positions 28 to 507 of the family's 1533-position model. The record is from RNAcentral.
GAUGAACGCUGGCGGCGUGCCUAAUACAUGCAAGUCGAGCGAACAGAUAAGGAGCUUGCUCCUUUGACGUUAGCGGCGGACGGGUGAGUAACACGUGGGUAACCUACCUAUAAGACUGGGAUAACUUCGGGAAACCGGAGCUAAUACCGGAUAACAUUUGGAACCGCAUGGUUCUAAAGUGAAAGAUGGUUUUGCUAUCACUUAUAGAUGGACCCGCGCCGUAUUAGCUAGUUGGUAAGGUAACGGCUUACCAAGGCAACGAUACGUAGCCGACCUGAGAGGGUGAUCGGCCACACUGGAACUGAGACACGGUCCAGACUCCUACGGGAGGCAGCAGUAGGGAAUCUUCCGCAAUGGGCGAAAGCCUGACGGAGCAACGCCGCGUGAGUGAUGAAGGGUUUCGGCUCGUAAAACUCUGUUAUUAGGGAAGGACAAACGUGUAAGUAACUGUGCACGUCUUGACGGUACCUAAUCAGAAAGCCACGGCUAACUACGUG